Molecule: ribosomal RNA, 180 nt
Filed under: uncultured Staphylococcus sp.
Lineage: Bacteria; Bacillati; Bacillota; Bacilli; Caryophanales; Staphylococcaceae
Description: partial 16S ribosomal RNA
Rfam family: Bacterial small subunit ribosomal RNA
Source: RNAcentral
AAGCUAAUACCGGAUAACAUGUUGAACCGCAUGGUUCAACAGUGAAAGACGGUCUUGCUGUCACUUAUAGAUGGAUCCGCGCCGCAUUAGCUAGUUGGUAAGGUAACGGCUUACCAAGGCAACGAUGCGUAGCCGACCUGAGAGGGUGAUCGGCCACACUGGAACUGAGACACGGUCCAG